AAACAGUUCAUCCUGAUUAAUGGACAGCUUUGCUCCAAGUGGUGUUUCAGGGACUCAAGUACUUUUUAUCUUAUUCUUCCAACAUCUUCAACUCCUGCCAAUGAAAAAUGAAAUAACGAGAUUUUUCUAAUUUCAUAUUUGCUUCAAGAGAAUUUGUAAUUGCUUGUUAAAAUACUUUUAUGAUGGUUGCUUUAAAGUAUUUGUCAGGAAAUUCCAACCUCUAAAGCAUCUCUAUUCAUUAUUUGAUCUCAUUCUAGUUGUGGUUUUCCUGGUUCUUGGUAGAAUGAGUGAUUUUCUAUUGUAUCCUAAACAUUUUGGAUACUAUAAGACUCUGGAUGCUAUUUAAUUCUCUUUUUAAGCAGAGAGCACACCUAUUGCAAUGUACUCU
RNAcentral lists this long non-coding RNA (388 nucleotides) under Homo sapiens (human). RNAcentral's name for it is "non-protein coding lnc-HAO1-5:2". Lineage: Eukaryota; Metazoa; Chordata; Mammalia; Primates; Hominidae. The record is from RNAcentral.